Small nuclear RNA from Zostera marina, 118 nucleotides. It matches the Rfam family "U5 spliceosomal RNA". From Rfam's summary of the family: U5 RNA is a component of both types of known spliceosome. NCBI's taxonomy places the organism in Eukaryota, Viridiplantae, Streptophyta, Magnoliopsida, Alismatales, Zosteraceae. The record is from Rfam.
AGCCAUGUGGUGAAUACAGAGCGAACUAUUCUUUCGCCUUUUACUAAAGAAUACCGUGUGUUCGUCACGCUAAUAGUGGCAUAAUCUAAUUUUUGUUGGGUUUAACUCUUUUUGAGAG